RNAcentral lists this long non-coding RNA (452 nucleotides) under Rattus norvegicus (Norway rat). RNAcentral describes it as "long non-coding RNA NONRATT026525". The record is from RNAcentral. Lineage: Eukaryota; Metazoa; Chordata; Mammalia; Rodentia; Muridae.
CUCCCUCCCCAGAACAUGCUAGGCAGCCAGAUGCUGCCCGUGCGUGUGUUUGAGCUGGAAGAGGAAGUUCGUAGCCUGCGCAAGAUCAACCGGGACCUGUUUGACUUCUCCACACGCAUCAUCACACGGCCCUCUAAGUGAUGCACACUGGGCAGCUGCCACACUUGCUGCGGGGCUGUGAUCUUGUGUUUUAACAAAGGAUGGACUAAGACUUGUACGCCUCAGUUGUUCUGUCCCUGGCUGGGCUGGGGCUUGGUUGGGAGGCCUAGGGAUGGGAUGAGGUGAAUGGGGGGCUGACUGCAGACUCCCCAUUCACGGGGGCCAAUCAGGCAGCAGUCAUUCUUUCAUGGACGUCCAAAGCUCAGCCUCUACAUAGUGUCCUGGGGCUACUGCCAACCGUAACCUGAAAUCCAGCCCAAAUACAACAGAACCUUCCAGAAAGCUGCCUUCAA